UUUUUUCACGUUCUCUGCAUAUUAUUCAUUUUUCUUCAUCUUCUUCCCAAAAUGGAAGACAUGACCAUCACACAAAAAUCAUUCUUAACCCAAUUCAAAAAUCGAAAUCGAAAUUGAAAUCCAUUCAAAAUCUUGAGUUCCUCAUCUCAAAAUCGAAAUCCAUUUGAAAUUCAAUUCUUCCAUUCAAAAUCGAAAUCAUGUUCUUCCAUGCGGUUUGAAAUCGAAAUGCAAUUCCGCUUUGAACCGGUUGAUUGGUAUCCAUGGGGUGAAGAAGCUUUCGCCGAAGCUCGCCGCAGAGAUUCUCUUUUCGUUGUUGUAGUGGUGAUGAUGGUUCUGAGCGUAUUUGAUAGUUGAUAGUGCCUGCAAUUUUGCCUGGAUUUCAAUGCAAAGCUUUCAGACUUUGGCCUUGCAAAGGAUGGGCCGAUGGGGGACCAAACACAUGUUUCAUACCUCUUCAUAUAAAUAAAUUAACUACAAUUUUGGUUCUUAACACCAAGUGAACUUAAUGUUUUAUGCUGCAUUGAGAACGCAUUCUAUAAGCUUUUAUUUACCCGAGACACGGGUCAUUCUGUGAGAUAAACUGUUGAUCCUGUUUCUUUAAUGGCAUCAGUAGCUACGGUUGUUCUGUUUAUCAUCUGAUUCACUAUUAUUUUGAUCAUCAGGUUUAGGUUGUUUUUCUUAUUGUCUGAGUUGCAUUAGAGAACAGGCCUAAUUUUUGUCUCUUGAAGUAGGGGUCGGUGUUAAUAGGUGCUACAGAGGCCUCUUUCAAUUGAAAAGGGUUUUUGAGUGCAAUGGCUCUUAACGAAUCAAUCUCGUAAUGUUAUUAGCGAACACCUGUCUCACCAAUUAACGUAUUAGGAUCUGGUCUAGCUUUUUAUGGUGUUUUCCUAUUUUCCAGAAUGAAGAGAAUUAAGCCAAAGACAGCCUAAUGUUCAGGUGUAUUUAUUCAGAAUUACGUUGAUGCAAAUAUUAAGGGAUUUGGAAGAUAUUGCCAUACGAUUUUUGAUGCAAUUCUGCAAAUAUUAAGGAGUUUGAAAGAUAUCAUUAUGUUUUUACCAUACACCGUAUUAAACUCUUGAUGCAAUUAUGCAAAAAUUACGGAAUUUGAAAGAUAUCAUUAUGUUAUUACCAUAUGAGUAACCAAAAAAAAAAAAUUAUAUUUUCUCUGUUGUUUUAUGAGUAACCAAAGAAACUGAAUUUAAUUAAAAAAAUAGCAUUGCUUAGAUUCGAACUUGCAGCGUAAGAAUAGCAACACAAUUCUU
RNAcentral lists this long non-coding RNA (1262 nucleotides) under Medicago truncatula (barrel medic). RNAcentral's name for it is "lncRNA gene8150". Lineage: Eukaryota; Viridiplantae; Streptophyta; Magnoliopsida; Fabales; Fabaceae. The record is from RNAcentral.